UACGGGGGGGAGCAAGCGUUGUUCGGAUUUACUGGGCGUAAAGGGCGCGUAGGCGGCGCAACAAGUCACUUGUGAAAUCUCCGGGCUUAACCCGGAGCGGCCAAGUGAUACUGUCGUGCUAGAGUGCGGAAGGGGCUACUGGAAUUCUCGGUGUAGCGGUGAAAUGCGUAGAUAUCGAGAGGAACACCUGCGGCGAAGGCGGGUUGCUGGGCUGAUACUGACGCUGAGGCGCGAAAGCCAGGGGAGCGAACGGG
Molecule: ribosomal RNA, 254 nt
Filed under: uncultured bacterium
Lineage: Bacteria
Description: partial 16S ribosomal RNA
Rfam family: Bacterial small subunit ribosomal RNA
Source: RNAcentral